RNAcentral lists this ribosomal RNA (253 nucleotides) under uncultured bacterium. RNAcentral's name for it is "partial 16S ribosomal RNA". It matches the Rfam family "Bacterial small subunit ribosomal RNA", at positions 524 to 776 of the family's 1533-position model. The record is from RNAcentral.
UACGUAGGGUGCGAGCGUUAAUCGGAAUUACUGGGCGUAAAGCGUGCGCAGGCGGUUUUGUAAGCCAGGUGUGAAAUCCCCGGGCUCAACCUGGGAAUGGCAUUUGGGACUGCAAGGCUGGAGUGCGGCAGAGGAGACUGGAAUUCCUGGUGUAGCAGUGAAAUGCGUAGAUAUCAGGAGGAAUACCGAUGGCGAAGGCAGGUCUCUGGGCUGACGCUGACGCUCAUGCACGAAAGCGUGGGGAGCAAACAGG